Molecule: ribosomal RNA, 497 nt
Filed under: uncultured bacterium
Lineage: Bacteria
Description: partial 16S ribosomal RNA
Rfam family: Bacterial small subunit ribosomal RNA
Source: RNAcentral
GAUGAACGCUGGCGGCGUGCCUAAUACAUGCAAGUCGAGCGAACGGACGAGAAGCUUGCUUCUCUGAUGUUAGCGGCGGACGGGUGAGUAACACGUGGAUAACCUACCUAUAAGACUGGGAUAACUUCGGGAAACCGGAGCUAAUACCGGAUAAUAUUUUGAACCGCAUGGUUCAAAAGUGAAAGACGGUCUUGCUGUCACUUAUAGAUGGAUCCGCGCUGCAUUAGCUAGUUGGUAAGGUAACGGCUUACCAAGGCAACGAUGCAUAGCCGACCUGAGAGGGUGAUCGGCCACACUGGAACUGAGACACGGUCCAGACUCCUACGGGAGGCAGCAGUAGGGAAUCUUCCGCAAUGGGCGAAAGCCUGACGGAGCAACGCCGCGUGAGUGAUGAAGGUCUUCGGAUCGUAAAACUCUGUAAUUAGGGAAGAACAUAUGUGUAAGUAACUGUGCACAUCUUGACGGUACCUAAUCAGAAAGCCACGGCUAACUACGUG